RNAcentral lists this ribosomal RNA (460 nucleotides) under uncultured bacterium. Its description in RNAcentral is "partial 16S ribosomal RNA". It matches the Rfam family "Bacterial small subunit ribosomal RNA", at positions 338 to 795 of the family's 1533-position model. The record is from RNAcentral.
CCUACGGGCGACAGCAGUGAGGAAUAUUGGUCAAUGGGCGGAAGCCUGAACCAGCCAAGUCGCGUGAGGGAAUAAGGCCCUACGGGUCGUAAACCUCUUUUGCCGGGGAGCAAGGGCCGGGACGAGUCCCGGUCCGGAGAGUACCCGGAGAAAAAGCAUCGGCUAACUCCGUGCCAGCAGCCGCGGUAAUACGGAGGAUUCGAGCGUUAUCCGGAUUUAUUGGGUUUAAAGGGUGCGUAGGCGGGCUUUUAAGUCAGCGGUAAAAAGUCGGGGCUCAACCCCGUCCGGCCGUUGAAACUGGGGGCCUUGAGUGGGCGAGAAGAAGGCGGAAUGCGUGGUGUAGCGGUGAAAUGCAUAGAUAUCACGCAGAACCCCGAUUGCGAAGGCAGCCUUCCGGCGCCCUACUGACGCUGAGGCACGAAAGUGCGGGGAUCGAACAGGAUUAGAUACCCCAGUAGUC